ACCGUUCAGGGGUAAACCUGAGAAACCCAAAAGAUCGAAUGGGGAGAUUCAUCGUCAGCUCAUUUUGUAUAUGUACGAGUUAUGAUGCGAGUUACUCUUGUAGUAUUGCUUGCACGUACUUGUACAUUUAUUUGCAAGAUGUUGUCGGCGUGCACUUCUCCCCUAGUAGAACGUCGCGACCCGUUGGGUGUUGGUCUACGACCCGAGUGGGAGACUUUAAUAUUUUAUUAUAUUAAAGACCCUUGGUGUUUUCUGACCGGCUGCCCGGCGGUACUCGUACGGUAUUUAGCCGCAUCUUAUUUGCGUCCAUGUCUGUCGCAAGCGAGGUCAAUUUCUGGUAGUGCGGACCUAGUGCCGUCACUGGGAUUGACCAGCUGUUGGCUGUACAGAAUUCUAGGACUGGCUAAAAUAAUUACCGGUCGGCGAUGCUACUGCUUUGGGUACUUUCAGGA
RNAcentral lists this ribosomal RNA (452 nucleotides) under Aleiodes sp. SY257. RNAcentral's name for it is "eukaryotic LSU rRNA". Lineage: Eukaryota; Metazoa; Arthropoda; Insecta; Hymenoptera; Braconidae. The record is from RNAcentral.